CAGUCGCCGCGGGAAUACGUAGGUGGCAAGCGUUGUCCGGAAUUAUUGGGCGUAAAGGGCUCGCAGGCGGUUUCUUAAGUCUGAUGUGAAAGCCCCCGGCUCAACCGGGGAGGGUCAUUGGAAACUGGGAAACUUGAGUGCAGAAGAGGAGAGUGGAAUUCCACGUGUAGCGGUGAAAUGCGUAGGGAUGUGGAGGAACACCAGUGGCGAAGGCGACUCUCUGGUCUGUAACUGACGCUGAGGAGCGAAAGCGUGGGGAGCGAACAGGAUUAGAUACCCCAGUAGUCCCUGUCUCUUAUAC
Molecule: ribosomal RNA, 301 nt
Filed under: uncultured bacterium
Lineage: Bacteria
Description: partial 16S ribosomal RNA
Rfam family: Bacterial small subunit ribosomal RNA
Source: RNAcentral